GGGUUGUGAGGUUAAGCGACUAAGCGUACACGGUGGAUGCCCUGGCAGUCAGAGGCGAUGAAGGACGUGCUAAUCUGCGAUAAGCGUCGGUGAGGUGAUAUGAACCGUUAUAACCGGCGAUUUCCGAAUGGGGAAACCCAGUGUGUUUCGACACACUAUCAUUAACUGAAUCCAUAGGUUAAUGAGGCGAACCGGGGGAACUGAAACAUCUAAGUACCCCGAGGAAAAGAAAUCAACCGAGAUUCCCCCAGUAGCGGCGAGCGAACGGGGAGGAGCCCAGAGCCUGAAUCAGUGUGUGUGUUAGUGGAAGCGUCUGGAAAGGCGCGCGAUACAGGGUGACAGCCCCGUACACAAAAAUGCACAUAUUGUGAGCUCGAUGAGUAGGGCGGGACACGUGGUAUCCUGUCUGAAUAUGGGGGGACCAUCCUCCAAGGCUAAAUACUCCUGACUGACCGAUAGUGAACCAGUACCGUGAGGGAAAGGCGAAAAGAACCCCGGCGAGGGGAGUGAAAAAGAACCUGAAACCGUGUACGUACAAGCAGUGGGAGCCUCUUAAUGGGGUGACUGCGUACCUUUUGUAUAAUGGGUCAGCGACUUAUAUUCUGUAGCAAGGUUAACCGAAUAGGGGAGCCGAAGGGAAACCGAGUCUUAACUGGGCGUUAAGUUGCAGGGUAUAGACCCGAAACCCGGUGAUCUAGCCAUGGGCAGGUUGAAGGUUGGGUAACACUAACUGGAGGACCGAACCGACUAAUGUUGAAAAAUUAGCGGAUGACUUGUGGCUGGGGGUGAAAGGCCAAUCAAACCGGGAGAUAGCUGGUUCUCCCCGAAAGCUAUUUAGGUAGCGCCUCGUGAAUUCAUCUCCGGGGGUAGAGCACUGUUUCGGCAAGGGGGUCAUCCCGACUUACCAACCCGAUGCAAACUGCGAAUACCGGAGAAUGUUAUCACGGGAGACACACGGCGGGUGCUAACGUCCGUCGUGAAGAGGGAAACAACCCAGACCGCCAGCUAAGGUCCCAAAGUCAUGGUUAAGUGGGAAACGAUGUGGGAAGGCCCAGACAGCCAGGAUGUUGGCUUAGAAGCAGCCAUCAUUUAAAGAAAGCGUAAUAGCUCACUGGUCGAGUCGGCCUGCGCGGAAGAUGUAACGGGGCUAAACCAUGCACCGAAGCUGCGGCAGCGACGCUUAUGCGUUGUUGGGUAGGGGAGCGUUCUGUAAGCCUGUGAAGGUGUGCUGUGAGGCAUGCUGGAGGUAUCAGAAGUGCGAAUGCUGACAUAAGUAACGAUAAAGCGGGUGAAAAGCCCGCUCGCCGGAAGACCAAGGGUUCCUGUCCAACGUUAAUCGGGGCAGGGUGAGUCGACCCCUAAGGCGAGGCCGAAA
This 1375-nucleotide ribosomal RNA is filed under the name Escherichia coli. RNAcentral's name for it is "partial 23S ribosomal RNA". It matches the Rfam family "Bacterial large subunit ribosomal RNA", at positions 1 to 1407 of the family's 2925-position model. The record is from RNAcentral. Lineage: Bacteria; Pseudomonadati; Pseudomonadota; Gammaproteobacteria; Enterobacterales; Enterobacteriaceae.